This 1215-nucleotide long non-coding RNA is filed under the name Cyanistes caeruleus (blue tit). Its description in RNAcentral is "lncRNA (ENSCCEG00000002143.1)". The record is from RNAcentral. Lineage: Eukaryota; Metazoa; Chordata; Aves; Passeriformes; Paridae.
AGAAAAAAGGAAAGCGAGUCACAGGCCACUCAACGCCUACUCCAUGGGUCUGAUUUGCUGAGACACCAACUUCACCCUCCUAACAAGGUGCAGCUCAAAAGAAGAUGAAGGCUACCAGAAGACAUGAACAAAGGGUAAGUGGCAUUAAACCUCUGAAGAACCUUUAUGUGUAUAUUGACCCCCAUACAGAAGGCAGACCAGACUGUGAUACUGCUGGAGAUAGAGGGAUCUUCUACAGCAUGUAUAAAAUUGUAACGUGGGUGGAGGAUGUUGAGAAGUGGCAAUUGUUUGAAAUUAAUAAACUGUGCUUGAAACUUGCCUUCAUCCUGUCUUUUGUUAUGCCUACAUAACCUACUGCAAAGCUUUGAAAUGUAUGAACAGUUUUCAAAUGCACUAGAAAUUAAGUGCAGUUUUGUGAAUGGAGUUGUCUCCUUAGAUAUCAGGGGCAUUAGAGAAUCUCUGGGAAAAAUCUUCCUGAACAUGUAAAAUGGAGCUUUUGUUAAGUUGCCUCUCCCUAAGUUUUGGAAGCUCCCUCAGCACCAAAGAUUUAAUGUGAAUUCACUUUUUAUUUUCACUGUGCCUUUUUUUUAUAUUUUAUAGCAAGGUAUUAACCUGCACUGAGUCAGGAGAUGAAAGAAUUGCAUUGUAUUGCAGUGAAGGGAAGUCAUAUAUACUAACAGAUUAAUCCUUAUAUGGGAAAAAAUGGAUGGGGAGGAGCAGCAUGGUGAAGUGGGAGGAAAUGUGUGUUUUCACUUAUUAACUUGUAAAUUAUUUUUAUAAUAUUGUAUAUUUGUGUGGGGGUACAGAAGUGAGACUACCACAUCUGUUCUACAAUUCUGUGUCUUAGUUUUGUUAAUCUAAGUAUGUAGAUAAAACUUAAUUUUAACUUGUGACAAUACUUACUCUAAAUGUAAAACCUUGGCCUUCCUUCCAUUGUACUUCUAUUGAAUUCUUCACUGUCUUAAUUAUUUCCUCAUAAACGCUGAUUUUGAUGAUUGUAGCACAGAUAUUUCUAUAAAGUAGGUAUGAGGUAAUUACUUAUAAAAUAAUGAACACAUGAAUGCUUCCAAAGAUUUGGCAUUUGGCUUAAGCUACUGAGAAAUAAUUUAAAGCUUCUUAUGGGCAGGUAUAAAAGAAUAGGCUAUAUCUUAUAGAGUAGCUGUUGAUGGUUCAGUCUCAGAAGUGACUUUUUAAGUGAGAGUGCAUCAAAAGAAA